RNAcentral lists this ribosomal RNA (411 nucleotides) under uncultured bacterium. RNAcentral describes it as "bacterial SSU rRNA". It matches the Rfam family "Bacterial small subunit ribosomal RNA", at positions 30 to 429 of the family's 1533-position model. The record is from RNAcentral.
AGUGAACGCUGGCGGCAGGCCUAACACAUGCAAGUCGAGCGGCAGCGCGUCCGACCACCCUCGGGUGGUCGGAUGGCGGCGAGCGACGGACGGGUGAGGAAUGCAUCGGAAUCUGCCUCGUUGUGGGGGGAUAACGUAGGGAAACUUACGCUAAUACCGCAUACGACCUACGGGUGAAAGUGGGGGACCUUCGGGCCUCACGCGAUGAGAUGAGCCGAUGCCGGAUUAGCUAGUUGGCGGGGUAAAGGCCCACCAAGGCGACGAUCCGUAGCUGGUCUGAGAGGAUGAUCAGCCACACUGGAACUGAGACACGGUCCAGACUCCUACGGGAGCAGCAGUGGGGAAUAUUGGACAAUGGGGGCAACCCUGAUCCAGCCAUGCCGCGUGUGUGAAGAAGGCCUCGGUUGUAAG